GACGAACGCUGGCGGCGUGCUUAACACAUGCAAGUCGAACGGAAAGGCCCUGCUUUUGUGGGGUGCUCGAGUGGCGAACGGGUGAGUAACACGUGAGUAACCUGCCCUUGACUUUGGGAUAACUUCAGGAAACUGGGGCUAAUACCGGAUAGGAGCUCCUGCUGCAUGGUGGGGGUUGGAAAGUUUCGGCGGUUGGGGAUGGACUCGCGGCUUAUCAGCUUGUUGGUGGGGUAGUGGCUUACCAAGGCUUUGAUGGGUAGCCGGCCUGAGAGGGUGACCGGCCACAUUGGGACUGAGAUACGGCCCAGACUCCUACGGGAGACAGCAGUGGGGAAUAUUGCACAAUGGGCGGAAGCCUGAUGCAGCAACGCCGCGUGCGGGAUGACGGCCUUCGGGUUGUAAACCGCUUUCGCCUGUGACGAAGCGUGAGUGACGGUAAUGGGUAAAGAAGCACCGGCUAACUACGUG
This 468-nucleotide ribosomal RNA is filed under the name uncultured bacterium. RNAcentral's name for it is "partial 16S ribosomal RNA". It matches the Rfam family "Bacterial small subunit ribosomal RNA", at positions 28 to 507 of the family's 1533-position model. The record is from RNAcentral.